UGUUUUAUGUUAGUAGAUGCACUGUGGUACGCUGAGUUUGUUUCAACUUAGACUAAGCAAAAAUAUACACUUUCUGAAGUGUUCCUGUGCAUUUGCAUUUCCUCUUUUGUCAAAUUUCAUUUGCAUAUAUUGUGCUCAUUUGUAAGGACUGUUGUAUAUCUAAUGUCAGUUUGUAAUUGUGCAUUAUUCCAAAUUACUGUUAGCAUAAUAGUUGCCUCUUCACAAAUCUACAUUCAGAAGCCAGUACAAGGAAUAAUGUGAAUAGUCGGUGGGAUGUCCUGGGAGUGGCUCAGUUGCUGAGACCUUCCUCCUUGUCUACUCCCAAAACACUUGUUUUGUUGGGAUCUUGGUUUCGUUAUUCUGUUUUCAGAAAUGUUUCAUACUUUGAUUUAAUUUAAUAACAUCAUGUUUUGGCUUUUACUUCUGAAGUAAUAUAUAUUUAUGCUAUAAUUCAAAUAUAUGUUCAAACAAUAUUAAUGUAAAUUUAUAGUGUAUUUGGAGUGUUGUUCUGAUUGAGGAGUAGGGUGUUCAAAUUGCUAGUUUAUAAGUUUUCAUCAGGAACACAUUUAGUCUAUGGGACGUGAUUGGAAGAGGUUUUAGACCUAUGCCCAGAUUUUGUUGCUUUGUUGCUAUGCUUAGAGUUCCAUCAGCUGUACAUACUACCUAUUCGAGAAUUCUUUUUUAAACACAAAUGUCCUGCAAGAGGUAAAAUAUUAAGCCUUUUCAGGGAGUUACGAAGAGUAGGGAACUCAACUUUGGGUGGAAAAGAGAGGCACCAUCCAUUCUCUUUGAGGCAAUUUGAUAAGAUUUCUGCUACUACUUUAGUGUAAGCUUCAACCAUUCCUUCCUUCCUUCCCUUUUUUUUUUUUUUUCUUUUCUUUUCAUGAAGAACCAGAGGUAAUUUUAGAGAAUUAACGUCUUUCUAGUGAUGGGUAUAGUGACAAGUUUGGGAAGAGAAGAGCUAAAGAAAGAGAAAGUUGAUAAAGCUUAGCUUAAUUCAGAUUUUUGCCUAGGACUAUUAAUAUCCAUUUAGUUGGAGUAAAGACACUUAGGAAAUUCAGGUGAUAAAGAACCCUCAUUGCAUGCAGAUCUUAAGGAAUUUAAUUUUCUGUACCAAAGACUGUGUUUGUGUUUAUAUAAAAUCUAAUUUUGUUAGAAGUACCUUGAUUAAAGAUCUUUAAGAUCUGGGCAUUCUUACAUUCCCUUUGGCCAUUCCAGAAAACUUCAACAAUUACUUUUUAAUCUUCUAAUUUAGCAGCAACUUAAAACUUUUUUAUUCUACAGAUUGCUCAGAUCUUAUGAUUAAUUUGAAUUGAGAGAAAAGUGAGUGUUUAUUCUCUCCCACAUUUAAAUAGCCUGUUCUUGCCUAAACACAACAUAGACUUUGUUGAUUUUUAUAUUGUUGUUAAAUAUGUCUUUCAAAGGUUACUCACAGAUAAAUGAUACUCACGUUUUUGCAUUCAGUUUUACUAUAUGAGGUAGUAGUAUAUGAGGAAAGGAACAAAAACUACAUUUGUAGAUGAGCCUUUGAAGCUUGCAGAGCUUCAUUUUGACUGCUGGCAGGUUCCCUUCCUAAUGGACCUGUGCCAGUGAUCUUGUGGUUGAAAUCAGAAGUUUCUCCUGCUUGUAAUUUUGAGUAGGAAUUUUGGAUUACUGCUCCAUGCCUCCACCUGCUGGUAGGGAGGGCUCUUCGUUUUCUGAAGAUGAUGGCGAGAGAGAGGAGAGGCUGAAAGCAGGGCAGGGAGAAUUGGGGGAAGAAGGAGUAAACUGACCUUAGAGACAAUACAUUAUUUGCCCAAGGCAUCACAAGAACUUUGAGAAGCACCUGUCAUGUUCCACACCCUUACUUUUAACCUAGCCUGCCUCGGUGAAGCAUGAAUCUUCUUUUUAAUCACAAUAAUCCUAGAAAAAGUGAAACAAGUUAUAUUUGGGCCCAGAUCUCUGACAGAGAUGUCCAGAGAAAGAGCAGGCUACUUCAUGAGAUUUUAAAUUGAGACAACAGCUUGAAAGAUACCUGGAGACACAGCGAGAGAGGGAACACAAGCAGGGGGAGCGGGAGAGGGAGAAGCAGGCUUCCCGCGGAGCAGGGAGCCCGAUGCGGGGCUCGAUCCCAGGACCCUGGCAUCAAGACCUGAGCCGAAGGCAGACGCUUUAACUACUGAGCCACCCAGGCGCCCCUUGGCUACUCAGUUUUUGCUUGAACAUUUUUGGAAUGAGAUUAUCACUUUAUAAGGUAAUCCAUUGUGGUGUUGAAUGGCACAGUGGGUUAAAUAGUGUCCACCAAAAAUUCAUGUCUACUUGGAACCUCAAAAUGUGACCUUAUUUGGAAUAAGGAUCUUUGCAGAUAUAAUCAAGAUGAGGUCAUAUGGGAUUAGGACAGGCCCUAAAUCCAAUGACUGAUGUCUUUCUGAGAGGACACACAGAGACACACGCAGGGGAGGCCACGUGAAGAUGGAGCAGAGAUUGGAGUGAUGCAGUUUACAAGCCAGGAACGCAAAGGAUUGCUGUGAUACACCAGAAACUCCUAAGAGGCAAAGAAGGAUUCUUCCCUGAAGCCUUCAGAAGGAACAUGGCCCUGUCCUGCCAACACUUGAUUUUGGACUUCAAGCCUGCAGAACUGAGAGAAAAUAAAUUUCUGUUGUUUUAAGCCACAAAGUUUGUGUUAUUUCAGUAGCCCUAGGAAAUGAGUACAAAUGGCUUUGAUUAUUUUAAAUGUAUUUGUUCUUUCAAUCAGCAGACAUUUACUGAGCACAUUUAUAUGCCAGGUACUCUGCUGGGUGUAUCUUGGAGCUUGGUCUAGUAGGAAGGACAGCUUUGUAAAUAUAAAAUUGCAGUACACUUGAUACAUGUUCUCAUUAAGAUAGCAUAUGAAGUUUAGUAGUGGCCCAGUUGAGCUGGGAGAACCAGGGCAGGAUUUAGAAAGAGAAACCUUUGUGCUUGGUUUGAAGAUAGAGCUGAAUCAGCCUCUGUGGGAAUUCUGCGCAAUUCCGCCCCCACUCGUGCUAUCAGUCCUGCCUAGUUAAGGUGUGUUUGGCCUGCUGUGAUAGCAUCCUGUCACUAGAAUUCUCUCUCCUCAGAUCUGUUGAAGUAAUUUUUUAAAUGCAGUCAGCUCGUGCCACUUGCUGAAACAUCAGUGGGUUCUUAUCACAGUGAAAAUAAAAUUCAAACUCCUUUUCGCGCUAUGGCCCCAUGUAAUCUCACACCUGCUAACUUUUCAGUUCCCUCCUUCCACAGUGGUCUUUUUGCUGUGAACACGCCAGGUUUGGUCCCAUCUUUGACUUUGCUCUUGUUCUUCUCUCAAUCUCAAGAUCUUGUCAUGGCUCCUUGUCCUUCCGGUCGCACCCCACUCUGCAGAGGAGUCUUCUCUGACCACCCUAUUUAAAACAGCACCCCACCCCCAGCUGUCCUCUUACCUUGUUUUAUUUGUGGCACACACCACUAACUCGACUGAUUUGUCUGUCUCCGCCUUCCACCCCCACCUUACUCCCCACCCCUGCCACCACAGAAUGUGUGGUCAGGAAGCAGGGAUCUUGUUUACCCUGUUCAGUGCCGUGUCCCUAGCGUGCAACACACAGGAAGUGUUCACUACAGAAGGAUGAAGAAAAAUUUUCUCGUUUAGUCUCAUGCUGUCAUGUCAGAUCAUGUCACCAUAACUGUCUCUGGGAUGAAUCCCAGAUUGUAUUCCUGUAAUUUCAUUUUAUAGUCCCACCUACUCCCUCCCCUUAAAAUUCCACCUUCAUCCUUAUACCCUUUCUGAGCUGCCCACUGUAGUAUGAAACUAUCUGAAUCUCUAAAUUUAGGUAAUCUUAUUUAAGAAUUCUCUGAGGUUUAGAAAACUUGCCCAAAGUAACACAACUCUAAAUGGUGUUUCUAGGAUUUGAACUUAGAUCUGUCUUUGACUAGCGCUCCUCUCUGCUGUACUUGAGUCGGGGGCUGAAUGCUUUUGGUGAGGGGGAGCUAAAUAUCAAGGAUUAGAAUAGGAGCCCUCUCUUAUUUGGAAUAGAAAUAGCAGAUACUUAUUUGUUUCUUUAGGAAGAACUGGGUGAUAUUUGUUAAAAGGAAUUCUAAAAAGAAACUUGAAUUUUUCGGGGGAGGGUUAAAGUUAAUACAUGCUUAUUUAAAAAAUGGAAUAUACUAAAAAAAAAAAAAAAAGGAAAGUAAACACCACCUGUCGCCCUACCACCCAGAAACACUGUUAACAUUUUAGAACAUAUUCAUCCAAUCAUUUUCUGUGCAGAAAUAUUGUGAUGUCAUUUUCAUAUACAAGUUUUUCUCUAAAUUUUGAAAUCAUUUCCUAAUGUAAUUACUAGAUCAGAGCAUACUGUCAGAUUUCCUUUCCAGAAAGGUGGUAUCGGUUUAUAUUUCCAUGAGCAGUAUGUGAGUGCCUUUUCAUACCUUGCUGAUAUUUUUAGUUUCCAUUUCUUGCAUUUUUAUUGAUAUUAAACUUGAAAUAGAUGUUUAUUAUUAAUUACCUGCUAGCUAUUUUCUGUGGCUUGUCUAUAUCCAUUACCUAUUUUUCUAGAACUGAAAUGUGAACUUGGAGGCAAAAAAUUUCAUGCUUGGAAAAGUAUAUUGAAAAUGAUUGACUUGAGAUUUUCUGAAUGUACUACGGAAGCACUCACUGUUAAAACAGCACACAAUCUCUCCCUCAAGCAAUAUUUUAAAUUUAGUGAUACUACCUCAGAUUUUUUACUAGUAAGAAAAUUGGAACAUAGAACUCAUUUUACAUAGCUUUUCUAAAAUCUCAGUUUUUAAAGAUAAUGUCUCUCUUACAUUUAAAAGGUUUUUUUUAGUGGCUUAAAAUAUAACAUGAAGGAGGACAAAUUGAAGAUGAAAGCAAAAUAUAUAUUACCUGACAUGUGUAGAACCAACAUUUUCAUUUUUCCUUUGUUUCAGAGUGAAAAUACUCAAUUCAUUUUCAGAGAAAAACUUUCUGGAAGUGACUUCAAGGAUUUUUGUGGUUGGCCUCAGCUCAUCUCCAGUUGAGGUGUAGUUCUGAUAACUGUCGAGGCUUUCCACACAUACUUCCCCAUCAGUGGUUUUUAAAUUUUAAAUUUCCUUUAGAGCAGGAUUCAUGUGGGCUAUGCAAGAAAAGCCAUUGAAGAUAAAAAAAUAAAAUUUUAGAACUUAUUUUAGCCUUAUUGUUUUAGAUCCUAAUUUUAUUCAUGUUGCAUAGAGUACAUAAAAGUAGAUGUAUACAGUUCAUAAAUAAAUGCAUUACAAGUUUGGAGACCAUUACCUCAGAGCAUCUGUUGAUGGCUAUGAAUUCUUACACACACACACACACAAAAGCCCCAUAUGUAACAUUUCAAAGGGUUCUCAGAGUCCAUUCAUCAUGAUACCCAUUUAACCAUAACCUUCCUUACCUACUGAAUCCAUUUAGCUGCAGUUUUUUGUCUACUGAUUUGUUAUUAACUAUCUCUGAUUUCAGUCCUUAAGGUUGCAGCCCAGGAUUAAGUGUCAAAACACCUGGCCUUAUACACUGAUCUGUCCUGACUUCAGUUUGAUUAGAUUAUGAGCGCCUUAAGAGUGGACGCUGUUUAUUUAGCUGUGUUAAGCCCAGUGCUUCACACAAUGUAGAUACUCAGCAAAUGUAAGAAGUACGUCAGACCCUUAUGAGGUUCUGUCUGUGACUCAGUCCUAGAGUCCAGCUUUCUGCUUUAUGCACCCUCCUUCCCAACCCCCCCUUCCCACAGUGCCGCCUCACACCCUGCUGUGCAAGCUAGUCAUUUCUGUCUUAAAGCCUCUUAUGCCAUCUCAAGGUGGUCACUUUUCACUCUUUGAUGGCUGAUGGAUUUCUGGAGAGUGUCUUGAAGUGGUAUUGGUUCUAUUCCCUUGUGAUAGGUUAGAUCCCUGUUGUUGAGUAACCAGAUGACUAUAGGCAGCCCUUAUCUUCAGUAUUGUGUAGGACAUAAUCCUAGGUCAACCUCUUUGUUUUUAGGAUAAAAGUAUGGAACUAGAGAGUACCAAACCAAGAGAAAAUGGCUAUAAAAUGGCUAUAAAAUUUCCUUGUUAGGAACUAGACUGGUUUGUUCAGGUAGAACACCAGGGAUAAUAGAAAUAUAGGGUGGCCCCAUAUGUAAUUUGAAGUUUCCCUGGAGCCACAUUUUAAACAAUAAAAUGAAAGAGGUGAAAUUAGUUUUAGUAUAUUUUAUUUAACCAGCUAUAUCCAAAAUAUUAACAUGUAAUCGGUAUUAAAAAGAUGUUAAUGAUGUAUUUUUAUCAUUUUAUUUUUGGAGAGCACAUCUCAGUUCUGACAAGCACUAUUUCAAGUACUCUGGAGCCACAAGUGGCUGGUGAUUCAUGUUUUGUGGUACAUCUUGUUAGAGGGAGUCAAGGCCACUUUUUUUGUUAAUAGACAAAUGUGUAGUUAUAUUUUGUAGAGUUCAUGUACAUUUCCCUUGUUCAAGCCUUAAAUUUAAUUAUUGGGAAG
This is a long non-coding RNA of Mirounga angustirostris (Northern elephant seal), 6433 nucleotides long. RefSeq lists it as uncharacterized. NCBI's taxonomy places the organism in Eukaryota, Metazoa, Chordata, Mammalia, Carnivora, Phocidae. The transcript is spliced from 4 exons. The record is from RefSeq and is a predicted model, not a curated record.